Molecule: long non-coding RNA, 587 nt
Organism: Culex quinquefasciatus (southern house mosquito)
Lineage: Eukaryota; Metazoa; Arthropoda; Insecta; Diptera; Culicidae
Exons: 2
Source: RefSeq, a predicted model, not a curated record
AUUUUUUUCCAUCUGUAUGUUCAUGUCAAAUCUACGUGAAACUCAGGAGGCUAAGCUUCAUCAAUUUCCAAGCGAACCAAUACAACCAUACGCCACAUCACAAGAAAUUCACGUCAAAGUUGCAACAAAUGCACGCAGGUUCUACCUUCUCGGAAUGUUAUUAACUCAUGAUUUUCUAGUGGAUUUGAAAGUACGGGGCGUUGGGGCGCCUUCUUCGCAGCGAUGUUGAACAUUUGCGCAUCUCCGGCAUCAUGCGAUUGCCCUGGAAUUUCUGGUUCCAUUGCGUAGACAAUAAGAACAUAAUCACCGCAGUCAACAAGUUCAGCUGCCGGGAGAAGAUCGAUGAAACUUAGAGGUGCUGAAAUUCUGGCUCUUUUUGGUGGAUUCGUCCGUUGCUGCUCCUGCACCCGACGGGGGAGACUUUUGUGGUGCUUGUCCUGAUCGCUCAUGAUCGUGUAGGCCGGCAUGUUCCAGAAUUGUGAUGUCUUGUCGGAUGAAGUCGCCUGAAAAAACAUAAACGCACAAGUUAGCGCUGAAUUAUUUUUUUUAAAUUUCAAAAUACAUACCCUCCGUUACGAAAUAUGUAA